This 349-nucleotide ribosomal RNA is filed under the name uncultured bacterium. RNAcentral's name for it is "bacterial SSU rRNA". It matches the Rfam family "Bacterial small subunit ribosomal RNA", at positions 164 to 507 of the family's 1533-position model. The record is from RNAcentral.
UAAUACCGCAUACGACCGAGNGGUAGAAGGCGGGGGACCGCAAGGCCUCGCGCGAUUGGAUGAGCCGACGUCGGAUUAGCUAGUUGGUGGGGUAAAGGCCCACCAAGGCGACGAUCCGUAGCUGGUCUGAGAGGAUGAUCAGCCACACUGGAACUGAGACACGGUCCAGACUCCUACGGGAGGCAGCAGUGGGGAAUAUUGGACAAUGGGCGCAAGCCUGAUCCAGCAAUGCCGCGUGUGUGAAGAAGGCCUUCGGGUUGUAAAGCACUUUUAUCAGGAACGAAAAGCGUUGGAUUAAUACUCUGACGUGCUGACGGUACCUGAGGAAUAAGCACCGGCUAACUUCGUG